Haemonchus contortus (barber pole worm) is the source of this 75-nucleotide non-coding RNA. NCBI's taxonomy places the organism in Eukaryota, Metazoa, Nematoda, Chromadorea, Rhabditida, Trichostrongylidae. The record is from Rfam.
GGUACAAGUUUGAAGAAGAGUAGAUUUGUAUGGUCAGCUGAUCCUACUAAUCUAGCCUAUUUCAAAUUUGGACCC